Molecule: transfer RNA, 66 nt
Filed under: Rousettus madagascariensis (Madagascan rousette)
Lineage: Eukaryota; Metazoa; Chordata; Mammalia; Chiroptera; Pteropodidae
Description: tRNA-Pro
Rfam family: tRNA
About the family: Transfer RNA (tRNA) molecules are approximately 80 nucleotides in length. Their secondary structure includes four short double-helical elements and three loops (D, anti-codon, and T loops). Further hydrogen bonds mediate the characteristic L-shaped molecular structure. tRNAs have two regions of fundamental functional importance: the anti-codon, which is responsible for specific mRNA codon recognition, and the 3' end, to which the tRNAs corresponding amino acid is attached (by aminoacyl-tRNA synthetases). tRNAs cope with the degeneracy of the genetic code in two manners: having more than one tRNA (with a specific anti-codon) for a particular amino acid; and 'wobble' base-pairing, i.e. permitting non-standard base-pairing at the 3rd anti-codon position.
Source: RNAcentral
CAAGGAAUAGUUUAAGUAGAAUAUCAGCUUUGGGUGUUGAUGGUGGGAUUUGAGUCUCUUCCUUGA